Long non-coding RNA from Alexandromys fortis (reed vole), 1608 nucleotides. RefSeq lists it as uncharacterized. The transcript is spliced from 5 exons. Lineage: Eukaryota; Metazoa; Chordata; Mammalia; Rodentia; Cricetidae. The record is from RefSeq and is a predicted model, not a curated record.
ACAGUUUCACGAGGGCACAGGAGAGUUGCUUCUUGCAAACUAAUGACUCAGGAUGAGCGCACGUGACUUGCUGAUCCUUUGAUGUCCUUCAGGAACCAAGUAAAUCAAAUAAACCAGUCUUCUGGAUAGGUAGGAACACCAGUCAGGAAGCUGGAGAAUGCCAGGCACCUGGUGGAUUCGGAGAGAGCAGUUCAUUUAUAUUUCGUAUAGUUGUUGACAUGAUCGCUUUGAGAUAUAUGUGCAAUAUCCAGGUAGAGUCUCAGAAACAGUGGUUCAAGAUCCAAGCACCAGGUAGAGUCCUCUCUGAGUGUGUCUGCAGCAAGGCAGCCAUGGCUAUUUGGAAGGGGGAGGAAGUAACAGUAGGGAGACGCCUAUUCACACCCAUCUGUCUUGGUCUUUCCAGGUUUCGCUUUGCUGUGAGUCUUGCCUCUUCGGAACCCACCUUAGCAUCUCAUGGAUAGCAGUGUGAGGUCCAUGACUCCUCCUCCCCGCAGCUGUCCUCCCUGUGAAUAAAAUAAAAUAAACAAAUUGAGCAGCUGCCAUUAGCAUGGCGGUAGUCCUGUUUUCCACUUGCAAGAAGGAUCCCGUUUAAUUCUCACAGGAGGCAGGCGUUAUCAGAUAUUUGUAGACAAGAUACAAAAACCCAAAGACAUCCAACAGUGCUAGAGACACACAGCUAAGGACAGCUGAAUGGCACAGCCUCCUUCUGAAAUCCAAACACUCUUUCUUCCCAAAGUUGACACUUUUGUCUUCUAACGUCCAUUCUAUUGCUUCUGUAAAGCACUGUGAUUUUACAGACUCUUUAAUUUUGUUUGUGUUUUAUUUUUCAAGACAGGGUUUCUCUGUGCAGCCCUGGCUGUCCGGGAACCACACUCUGUAGAGCUGGCUAACCUUGAAUUCAGAGACCCGUCUGUCUCUGCUUCCAAAGUGCUGAAAUUAAAGAUAUGAGUCGCCCACCCAUCCUGGAUGUUUGUUUGCUUUGGAGACUGGAUCUCACGAAGUAUCCUUAGCCAGCCUCAAACCAUUCACAGUGAUGAAGACCAGGCUGGCCUCCAAUGAACAGAGCUAGGCUAGAUUCAGUCUUCAGAGUGUUGAUACAGUGAAGAGACUCUAAUGCCACAGAGAGGUAAACACGUGCUAUCCAUACAGAUGCCAACAUCUGCCAAAGCUUGUCCAUGUCCCUGCUCUCUGAAUCUUAAUACAGUCAGGUGGCAGGGACCCCUGACCACGUGACUGACAGCAGAAGGCGUUAACUCUUAAGAGAGGAGACAAUGAAAAAUUCUUGCAAGACGCCUGUGCCUUGACCAUGGUCUUCCUAAACUUCAAAACUAUCCGAAACACAUAUCAGGUGUAUAUAAAUUCCUCAACCCUCGAUGCUCUGCUAUAGCAGCGAAUAAUGAAGGCAUUCUCAGAAGACCCAGAAGGGCAGCAGCAACAACAACAAACAGAGACAUUCUUCAACAACAACAAACAUAGAGACAUUCUUUGGCACUGGUUUUAAAGAAUGGAUCCAGUUUUAGGCUCUCUUCCUGGGGAUGAGUCAGUGUGGAACCCUCCAGCCUACAGGAAAUGAAAAAAGUUUCCAGAGAAUAAAAGCCUGAAAGAAAA